UGAAAGUGGACCGAGGGCCGUGGAUGUUCUCCAAAUCACUUGCAGUUACAGUAAUGAGUUUGAAGUUCCACCUAUAAUCAUCUCCAUCAUCCGAACUGGACCGAAAGAGAUCAGACUAAAGAAGGUGAUUGAACAAAAGGAUGAAGAAAAAAGAAGUUGGGAGAAUCAGGCAAGCACAGGCCUUGAAUAUGAGGAACGUGUGCUAUG
Long non-coding RNA from Morus notabilis, 207 nucleotides. RefSeq lists it as uncharacterized. The record is from RefSeq and is a predicted model, not a curated record. The transcript has 3 exons. NCBI's taxonomy places the organism in Eukaryota, Viridiplantae, Streptophyta, Magnoliopsida, Rosales, Moraceae.